GUGGGUAGGUAGGCUCACCAAGGCGACGAUCCCUAGCUGGUCUGAGAGGAUGACCAGCCACACUGGAACUGAGACACGGUCCAGACUCCUACGGGAGGCAGCAUG
This 105-nucleotide ribosomal RNA is filed under the name uncultured bacterium. RNAcentral describes it as "partial 16S ribosomal RNA". It matches the Rfam family "Bacterial small subunit ribosomal RNA", at positions 252 to 353 of the family's 1533-position model. The record is from RNAcentral.